This 492-nucleotide ribosomal RNA is filed under the name uncultured bacterium. RNAcentral's name for it is "partial 16S ribosomal RNA". It matches the Rfam family "Bacterial small subunit ribosomal RNA", at positions 29 to 507 of the family's 1533-position model. The record is from RNAcentral.
AGUGAACGCUGGCGGUAGGCCUAACACAUGCAAGUCGAACGGCAGCACAGUAAGAGCUUGCUCUUACGGGUGGCGAGUGGCGGACGGGUGAGGAAUACAUCGGAAUCUACUUUUUCGUGGGGGAUAACGUAGGGAAACUUACGCUAAUACCGCAUACGACCUACGGGUGAAAGCAGGGGAUCUUCGGACCUUGCGCGAUUGAAUGAGCCGAUGUCGGAUUAGCUAGUUGGCGGGGUAAAGGCCCACCAAGGCGACGAUCCGUAGCUGGUCUGAGAGGAUGAUCAGCCACACUGGAACUGAGACACGGUCCAGACUCCUACGGGAGGCAGCAGUGGGGAAUAUUGGACAAUGGGCGAAAGCCUGAUCCAGCCAUGCCGCGUGAGUGAAGAAGGCCUUCGGGUUGUAAAGCCCUUUUGUUGGGAAAGAAAAGCAGCAGGUUUAUACCCCGAUGUUCUGACGGUACCCAAAGAGAAAGCACCGGCUAACUUCGUG